Molecule: ribosomal RNA, 253 nt
Filed under: uncultured bacterium
Lineage: Bacteria
Description: partial 16S ribosomal RNA
Rfam family: Bacterial small subunit ribosomal RNA
Source: RNAcentral
GACGGAAGGUGCAAGCGUUGCUCGGAAUCAUUGGGCGUAAAGGGUGCGUAGGCGGCGCGGUAAGUCGGGUGUGAAAUCUCGGAGCUUAACUCCGAAACUGCAUUCGAUACUGCCGUGCUUGAGGACUGGAGAGGAGACUGGAAUUUACGGUGUAGCGGUGAAAUGCGUAGAUAUCGUAAGGAAGACCAGUGGCGAAGGCGGGUCUCUGGACAGUUCCUGACGCUGAGGCACGAAGGCCAGGGGAGCAAACGGG